Molecule: ribosomal RNA, 275 nt
Filed under: uncultured bacterium
Lineage: Bacteria
Description: partial 16S ribosomal RNA
Rfam family: Bacterial small subunit ribosomal RNA
Source: RNAcentral
GCGUGGAUGAAGAAGGCCCUAGGGUUGUAAAGUCCUUUCGGUGGUGAAGAUAAUGACGGUAACCACAGAAGAAGCCCCGGCUAAUUUCGUGCCAGCAGCCGCGGUAAUACGAAAGGGGCUAGCGUUGUUCGGAAUUACUGGGCGUAAAGCGCACGUAGGCGGCAUUGUAAGUUGGGGGUGAAAUCCCAGGGCUCAACCCUGGAACUGCCUUCAAAACUACAAAGCUAGAGGCUGUGAGAGGAGAGUGGAAUUCCGAGUGUAGAGGUGAAAUUCGU